Molecule: long non-coding RNA, 1393 nt
Organism: Bos taurus (domestic cattle)
Lineage: Eukaryota; Metazoa; Chordata; Mammalia; Artiodactyla; Bovidae
Source: Ensembl
GGCCUCUAAGGCUGAGAUCUCAUCCACUAGCUGGUCCUCAAGGCUUUGUAGCUGCGGAGAUUGCUCGUCCCAUCCUCUAAGAGACUGAACCUCCUUCAUCUGCAUCACCUUGGAAGCUCCCUCCAUAAGUAAAUCGAGGCUGAUUUCCCUAAGAUCUCACCAGGAGUAAUUGCCAAAGCUGGAAUCGAAUUCCUGUUGCAAUUUGACUCUAGAGCCUAAGCUCCUAACAGCUGGUAUAUACUGUCUCUCAUGCUAACAGCUAGUGUCCAGAGAGAGGGCACACAUGGUCCCGGGGAAUCCUCACAGCCACCCCAGGAAGAAGAAUGACGACAGCACCCAUUAAAGCAGACAACUGAGGCUCAUGGAGGUGAAGACACUCAGCUCACACAGCUGGUCCAUGGUUGAGCAAGGAGUAGAGUGAAUGAUACCUAAUCUUCUGAAUCCAAAUCCACAUCUUAAUCUCUCCUCACACUGCUUCCUUCCCAUUUGACUGAUGGAGAAACUGAGGCCCUGAGGAAAAUCAAAGCUGGAAUUCAGAUCCAGAUCCAUGAGACCCAGUAGAGCACCCCCUAUACCACAUUGCCUCCAAGAAUUCGGUGUCUAGUAGAUCCUGUGUUUGGACAUGACUGAAGUGACUAAGCACACACAGCACAGAUCCUAUGUUAGAUGAGGUGAAAAGUCUUCUCAGCCAACCAGCCUUGUCUGUAAGCAGUGAGGUCAUCUGGUCCCAAAUUUGGCCCUAAAGGUGGUUGGGAGACUAUUUCACAGCCUUGGAAUCUUUGGCGGCUUCUCACUGAGAAGCCUGUAAUCAUAAUUGUGACAAUUUAUUGAACACUUUUUAUGAGCCAGGUGAGGUGGAAAGCAUUCUGCAUGUAUCACCUCACUAAAUCCUUUUAAUUCUAGGGUAUAGGAAUUGUUAUUGUCCCCAUUUUACAGGUAAGGAAACUGAGACCCUGGGAUGGAUGAAACAUUUCUAUGCUUACAGAGCUAGUGAAUCAUGGAGCCUGAAUUGGAACCCAGCGCUUACUCAAGCCCUCAAUUCCAGCUACUCAGCACGUGCAAGCAUGAGAAGAUGGAGCGAGGGACCCUGAGUUCUGGCAAGAUGGAAUAGGAAGGGUUGUUGGCUUCAUUCUGGAAGUCGUAUUAUAAGAUUAGAAGAGUCAGCUGGCUGAGAUGAGUAGAGAAAUACCUAUGGCUUAUGGAACAGCGAUCCCAUGCCAGGUCCUAUGCUAACUACACUUGAUUUAUGUUGAGAAGCAGAGAACCUUGUGGUUAAGAAGCUGGACACUGGAUCCAGUCUCCCUGGAUUCAUGUUCUGGCCUUGCUACUUGCUAGUUCUGAGACCUUUAGCCGGUUACUUAACCAGUCUUGGCCUCAAUUUCCUCAUCUGUAA